GGAAUAUUGGACAAUGGGGGCAACCCUGAUCUAGCCAUGCCGCGUGGACGAUGAAGGCCUUAGGGUUGUAAAGUCCUUUCGCUGAGGAAGAUAAUGACGGUACUCAGUAAAGAAGCCCCGGCUAACUCCGUUCCAGCAGCCGCGGUAAUACGGAGGGGGCUAGCGUUGUUCGGAAUUACUGGGCGUAAAGCGCACGUAGGCGGAUUAGUAAGUUGGGGGUGAAAUCCCGGGGCUCAACCUCGGAACUGCCUUCAAAACUGCUAGUCUUGAGUUCGAGAGAGGUGAGUGGAAUUCCGAGUGUAGAGGUGAAAUUCGUAGAUAUUCGGAGGAACACCAGUGGCGAAGGCGGCUCACUGGCUCGAUACUGACGCUGAGGUGCGAAAGCGUGGGGAGCAAA
This 397-nucleotide ribosomal RNA is filed under the name uncultured bacterium. RNAcentral describes it as "bacterial SSU rRNA". It matches the Rfam family "Bacterial small subunit ribosomal RNA", at positions 358 to 772 of the family's 1533-position model. The record is from RNAcentral.